GAUGAACGCUGGCUACAGGCUUAACACAUGCCAGUCGAGGGGAAACGACGGGGAAGCUUGCUUCUCCGGGCGUCGACCGGCGCACGGGUGAGUAACGCGUAUCCAACCUGCCUCUGACUGAGGGAUAACCCGUCGAAAGUCGGCCUAAUACCCCAUGGCAUCGUCUGCGGGCAUCCAACGACGAUUAAAGAUUUCAUCGGUCAGAGAUGGGGAUGCGUCUGAUUAGCUUGUUGGCGGGGUAACGGCCCACCAAGGCGACGAUCAGUAGGGGUUCUGAGAGGAAGGUCCCCCAGAUUGGAACUGAGACACAGACCAAACUCCUACGGGAGGCAGCAGUGAGGAAGAUUGGUCAAGGGGCGAGAGCCUGAACCAGCCAAGUAGCGUGCAGGAUGACGGCCCUAGGGGUUGUAAACUGCUUUUAUGCGGGGAUAAAGUGAGGGACGUGUCCUUCAUUGCAGGUACCGAAUGAAUAAGGACCGGCUAAUUCCGUG
This 491-nucleotide ribosomal RNA is filed under the name uncultured bacterium. RNAcentral describes it as "partial 16S ribosomal RNA". It matches the Rfam family "Bacterial small subunit ribosomal RNA", at positions 28 to 507 of the family's 1533-position model. The record is from RNAcentral.